CUCCACGAAGUUGGAUUCGCUAGUAAUCGCGCAUCAGCCAUGGCGCGGUGAAUACGUUCCCGGGCCUUGUACACACCGCCCGUCAAGCCAUGGGAGCCGGGGGCGCCUGAAGUCCGGGACCGCGAGGACCGGCCUAGGGCGAAACUGGUAACUGGGGCUAAGUCGUAACAAGGUACC
Molecule: ribosomal RNA, 177 nt
Filed under: uncultured bacterium
Lineage: Bacteria
Description: partial 16S ribosomal RNA
Rfam family: Bacterial small subunit ribosomal RNA
Source: RNAcentral